UACAGAGGUCUCAAGCGUUGUUCGGAAUCACUGGGCGUAAAGGGUGUGUAGGCUGUGCGUUAAGUCAGAUGUGAAAGCCCAGGGCUCAACCUUGGAACUGCAUCCGAUACUGGCGUGCUAGAGAAUUGGAGAGGAGUCUAGAAUUCACGGUGUAGCAGUGAAAUGCGUAGAUAUCGUGAGGAAUACCAAGUGCGAAGGCAGGACUCUGGACAUUUUCUGACGCUGAGACACGAAGGCUAGGGGAGCAAACGAG
Molecule: ribosomal RNA, 253 nt
Filed under: uncultured bacterium
Lineage: Bacteria
Description: partial 16S ribosomal RNA
Rfam family: Bacterial small subunit ribosomal RNA
Source: RNAcentral